GAUGAAGAACGCAGCGAAUUGCGAUAAGUAAUGUGAAUUGCAGAUUUUCAGUGAAUCAUCGAAUCUUUGAACGCACAUUGCGCCCCUUGGUAUCCCGAGGGGCAUGCCUGCUCGAGCGUCAUUUAGGCCAUCAAGCUAUGCUUGGUCUUGGGUGCGGUCUGAGCGACCCACCCGCAACUCUGUCAGCGGCAACCGUUUGGUCCCUAGGCGUAGCAAAAACAUUCGUCUCAGGGCUCCGCAGGUGGCUGUCUUAAAGAACGCAGUCUGACUUGAGAGAGUCUCACGCGCACACAAAGUUUGACCUCGGAUCAGGUAGGGAUACCCGCUGAACUUAAGCAUAUCAAUAAGCGGAGGA
RNAcentral lists this unclassified non-coding RNA (355 nucleotides) under soil metagenome. RNAcentral describes it as "partial contains 5.8S ribosomal RNA, internal transcribed spacer 2, and large subunit ribosomal RNA". The stretch from base 1 to 121 matches the Rfam family "5.8S ribosomal RNA", at positions 35 to 154 of the family's 154-position model. The record is from RNAcentral.